RNAcentral lists this transfer RNA (85 nucleotides) under Felis catus (domestic cat). It matches the Rfam family "tRNA". Rfam says of the family: Transfer RNA (tRNA) molecules are approximately 80 nucleotides in length. The record is from Rfam by way of RNAcentral. RNAcentral also lists the same sequence under 1 other name. Lineage: Eukaryota; Metazoa; Chordata; Mammalia; Carnivora; Felidae.
GCCUGGGUGGCUCAUUCGGUUAAGCGUCCGACUUAGGCUCAGGUCAUGAUCUUGAGGGUCAUGGGUUCGAGCCCCGUACCAGGCU